RNAcentral lists this ribosomal RNA (530 nucleotides) under Trigonopterus kolakensis. RNAcentral's name for it is "partial 16S ribosomal RNA". The record is from RNAcentral. Lineage: Eukaryota; Metazoa; Arthropoda; Insecta; Coleoptera; Curculionidae.
GCUCACACCGGUUUAAACUCAGAUCAUGUAAAAUUUUAAAGGUCGAACAGACCUAUCUUAUUAGCUUUUGCACCAAUAAUUAAUUUUAAUCCAACAUCGAGGUCGCAAACUACCUUUUUGAUAAGAACUCUAAAAGUAAUAACGCUGUUAUCCCUAAGGUAAUUUAAUCUUUUAAUCUAAAACUUAGGAUCAUAAAUUUACAAACUAAUAUUCCAAUUAAAAAAAAGUUGAUUAAGUUUUUUUAUCGCCCCAACAAAAUAUAUUUUCUAAAACUAAAAAAUUAAUUUCCUAAUAUCUUACAUUUUUUAAAUAUAUAAAACUCUAUAGGGUCUUCUCGUCUUCCAUGAAAAUUUAAGCUUUUUAACUUAAAAAUAAAAUUUUAAUAAAUUUUAAUAGAGACAGUCAUUUUUUCAUCAAACCCUUCAUUCAAGCUCUCAAUUAAAAAACUAAUGAUUAUGCUACCUUUGCACGGUCAGAAUACCGCGGCCAUUUAAUUUCUCAGUGGGCAGGUCAGACUUGAAAUCAACUUC